This 505-nucleotide ribosomal RNA is filed under the name uncultured bacterium. RNAcentral describes it as "bacterial SSU rRNA". It matches the Rfam family "Bacterial small subunit ribosomal RNA", at positions 15 to 518 of the family's 1533-position model. The record is from RNAcentral.
GAUCAUGGCUCAGGAUGAACGCUGGCGGCGUGCCUAACACAUGCAAGUCGAACGAAGCAUGUCAGAAGUAAGUUUCGGACGAGCGGAAGACAUGACUGAGUGGCGGACGGGUGAGUAACGCGUGGGUAACCUGCCCCAUACAGGGGGACAACAGAGGGAAACUUCUGCUAAUACCGCAUAAGCGCACGGAUCUGCAUGGAUCCGUGUGAAAAGCCGAGGCGGUAUGGGAUGGGCCCGCGUUGGAUUAGGCAGUUGGCGGGGUAACGGCCCACCAAACCGACGAUCCAUAGCCGACCUGAGAGGGUGACCGGCCACAUUGGGACUGAGACACGGCCCAGACUCCUGCGGGAGGCAGCAGUGGGGGAUAUUGCACAAUGGGGGAAACCCUGAUGCAGCCGACGCCGCGUGAGUGAAGAAGUAUUUCGGUAUGUAAAGCUCUAUCGGCAGGGAAGAAGAUGACGGUACCUGCAGAAGAAGCUCCGGCUAAAUACGUGCCAGCAGCCGC